Molecule: long non-coding RNA, 409 nt
Organism: Rhopalosiphum padi (bird cherry-oat aphid)
Lineage: Eukaryota; Metazoa; Arthropoda; Insecta; Hemiptera; Aphididae
Exons: 2
Source: RefSeq, a predicted model, not a curated record
UUUGUACUAUCUCUUUUGUUGCUAAGCAUUAUAAUUAUUUCUUUAACCAUUAUACAUAUUUAACUGACUACUUUGUGUUUUAGAUGGCAGUAUAGCAGAUCACUCGAGGCAUGCUGAGACCAUGAAUUAACAUUUCUAUCACUUGGGAAAGUUACAACAUCUUCCGUUGAAAAUGGAAUAGAAGUUGGCAGUAUAUCAGAUCAAUCAAGGCACGCUGAGACACGAAUUCACAUUUCUACCACCAAGGAAAGUAUCAACAUCCUAUGUUGAAAAUGGACUAGAAGAUACUGAUAAUAAUAUUGGAUUUAUGCAAUGUGCGUGCAAUGGUUAUUGAAUAUAAUUGAUACUAAAUUAAUAGCUGUGAAACAAUUGAGAUUUGUUAAAUAUCUGAAUAAAAUAAUAGUAAACA